UUGCCCUAGUAACGGCGAGUGAAGCGGCAACAGCUCAAAUUUGAAAUCUGGCUCUUUAGGGCCCGAGUUGUAAUUUGUAGAGGAUGCUUUUGGCGCGGUGCCUUCCGAGUUCCCUGGAACGGGACGCCUUAGAGGGUGAGAGCCCCGUACGGUUGGACACCAAGCCUCUGUAAAGCUCCUUCGACGAGUCGAGUAGUUUGGGAAUGCUGCUCUAAAUGGGAGGUAAAUUUCUUCUAAAGCUAAAUAUUGGCCAGAGACCGAUAGCGCACAAGUAGAGUGAUCGAAAGAUGAAAAGCACUUUGAAAAGAGGGUUAAAUAGCACGUGAAAUUGUUGAAAGGGAAGCGUUUGCGACCAGACCUUUUCCUAGCGGAUCAUCCGGUGUUCUUCGCCGGUGCACUUCGCUAGGUCGAGGCCAGCAUCGGUUUCUGCAGGGGGAUAAAAGCCCAGGGAACGUAGCUCUUUCGGGAGUGUUAUAGCCCUCCGCAUAAUACCCUUGCGGGGACCGAGGACCGCGCUUUUUGCAAGGAUGCUGGCGUAAUGGUCGUCAACGACCCGUCUUGAAACACGGACCAAGGAGUCGAACAUUUAUGCGAGUGUUUGGGUGUUAAACCCUCACGCGUAAUGAAAGUGAACGGAGGUGAGAGCCCUUACGGGUGCAUCAUCGACCGAUCCUGAUGUCUUCGGAUGGAUUUGAGUAAGAGCAUAACUGUUCGGACCCGAAAGAUGGUGAACUAUGCGUGGAUAGGGUGAAGCCAGAGGAAACUCUGGUGGAGGCUCGCAGCGGUUCUGACGUGCAAAUCGAUCGUCAAAUCUGCGCAUGGGGGCGAAAGACUUAUCG
RNAcentral lists this ribosomal RNA (839 nucleotides) under Nemania diffusa. RNAcentral describes it as "partial large subunit ribosomal RNA". It matches the Rfam family "Eukaryotic large subunit ribosomal RNA", at positions 75 to 937 of the family's 3401-position model. The record is from RNAcentral. Lineage: Eukaryota; Fungi; Ascomycota; Sordariomycetes; Xylariales; Xylariaceae.